Molecule: ribosomal RNA, 814 nt
Filed under: Chlamydonellopsis calkinsi
Lineage: Eukaryota; Ciliophora; Phyllopharyngea; Chlamydodontida; Lynchellidae
Description: partial small subunit ribosomal RNA
Rfam family: Bacterial small subunit ribosomal RNA
Source: RNAcentral
AAUAAGUGUUAUUUGUAUAAAUUGGGUUUAAAUAUAUUUUGUUAUCUAUAUUUACUAAAUAAGCUUAUAAAUUUAUAGAUUUAAUUUUUAGUUGGAAAAUAAUAUUUUUUUUUUUAUAGCAAUAAAAUGCAAACAUUUAAAAAAAAAUUUCUUUUUAAAGAUAAUUAUUUAUUACUAAAAUUAACUAAAUAUGAAAGUAUAAUUAUCAAAAAGGAUUAGAGACCCUUGUAGUUUAUACUGUCAAAUAUGGUAAGCCUUAAAAGAGACUUACUAACCUGGGGAGUACUAUUGCAAAAUAUAAACUUAAAGAAAUUGGCGGGAUUUUAGAUAAAUGGUGGAAUAUGUGGUUUAAUGCGAUAAUCCCCGCAAAAUCUUACUAGUACAUUAAUUAUUAUUAAUAAUAUAAUAUAAUAAAUAACAAUUAAUAGGUAUUGCAUGGCUGUCGUCAGUUCGUGCUUUAAGGCGUAGGAUUAAUUUCUUUUGAACGAACGAAACUCUAAUAUUAUAGAAUAAAGUCAAGUCCUUAUGGUCUGUAUAUACUAGGCUACACACGUAUUACAUUUUUAAAAUAAUAGUUUUUUAUUUUUAAUAAUAAAAAAGUACUAAAAAAUUAAUAUUGAAUUAUUUCUUGUUAUUCAGAAAUAUGAAAUAGGAAUCAUUAGUAAUCGUAAAAUAGUAAGUUACGGUGAAUUUUUAUUAAAAUUUGCACACACCGCCCAUCACGCUCAGAGAAUUUUCUUGCAUUAAAAUUUUAUCAAUAUAUAAUGAUUUUAUAUUGUUACCGUUGACAUGUAUGAAGAUAAUUAGAGUGAAG